GAAAUAUGAAGAUUCAAAAAAAAGCUUCUAACUUUUUAUUUAAACGAUUUAACUUCGUUUAUAUUUCU
This 68-nucleotide transfer RNA is filed under the name Heptamelus sp. RNAcentral's name for it is "tRNA-Ser". The record is from RNAcentral. Lineage: Eukaryota; Metazoa; Arthropoda; Insecta; Hymenoptera; Tenthredinidae.